This 1202-nucleotide unclassified non-coding RNA is filed under the name Hevea brasiliensis (rubber tree). Lineage: Eukaryota; Viridiplantae; Streptophyta; Magnoliopsida; Malpighiales; Euphorbiaceae. The record is from RNAcentral.
GGCUAAUAACAUUCUCAUUCAAAAUCAAUUAUCAUGACAAUCUUGAUCACUUACAACAUAGUUUUACAAACUAAACAUACCAAAACUUAAAUCUCAACCAAGUCAACUUGGUUUUUUCCCCACUUAACUAGUCCAUAAUCAUUUAACACAAAAUCAAAUGUCCCAAUUAAGUAUAUAAUAUGACUUCAACAAUAUUAAUAAGUAACCCUAACUCCUUGAUAUCUAAGAAUUUCUCCAAUAAGUUCACCUUUCCCAGAACCAACAUACCUUCCACAAAUUUCACCAUCUCUUAUAAACAAAAACGUAGGCACUUCAAUAACAUCCAUGUCUUUCAAAAACUGCAUACAACUAUCAUUCUCAUCACCAUUCAUUCUCGCGAACACGACUGUAUCAGCCAUCUGUUUCGAUAGCUUAAUCACUGUUGGAUAAACUUUCACACAUGGUCCACAAUGCUUCAAUCCAACGUCGAGGACUAUUAAUUUUUUAUCGAUUUUGUGGUCUUGGAUUACCUUUUCAACGUCUUCUCUGCUGUGGAGCUGCACUACUUCGGAGUGGCUGUCACCGUAGUAGAGUACAUCACCGGCAAGUUGGUCCGGGCCAAUGCCUUCUUCCUCGUGGAUCUUCUCCAUGCUUUUGUAGAAGUUGAAAUGUGGUACCUUGUCAAUCUUUUCUCUCCGGCAGAGUGCCUUAGUCUUCUCCGUUUCAUCUCCGAUCACCAACAAGAAAUCGACAUCGUUACAUGUCUUACUUAAAUUCACCAUAAAAGGAUAAAUAUUUUUCGAACGUUCACUAUCUUUGCCUGCAAAUUCAACCACAACUAGUCGAUUUUUCGCAUUUUUUAAUGCUUCAUCCAAUUCCUCCAUACUAUUAACCUUUUGUACUCUUUCACUUUUAGCCACUUUUUUCUCAACAUCAGGUGCUGCUGUUGCCUUUGUAAUCAAUAAGGGCUUGUUUGUUUUGAGGUUCUUGAAAAUUGAUUGUUUGGAUUUCUCAAAAGGGAAAUUGGAGUAAAGUGAAGGGCUAAUUUUUGUAAUUGAAGCUAGAUUUGGAGAGGGUUUGAGCAAAAAAUUUGUGAGAGUAGCCAUAGAUUAAAGAUUUUUCUUUUCAAGAAUAGCCACAAAAGGAAGAGGGAUGUCAAGUUUAGAAGAAAGGGAGAAAUGGAAAUGUAGUUUGAUAUGAGGUUGUGACACUAUUGGAUUGAG